GUAAUGAGGAAGACAAAACAGGAAUAAAAUGCAAUAAGUAUUAUAAAUUUACAAAUUGAAGUGUUUUACAUAAUUAUUUUUUAGUUGUAUCGGCUUAUGCUAGACGUAAGGUUAGCGUUUAUUUUUUUAUUAUUUCAACAUGAUCGUACAAUUUAAACUUUGGAAAUGGGCUCUAGGAUAAGAGAAGAUCCACCCCAUGUUUUUGAGUGUUUUUGUGAAAUAUCUGUACCAACAAGUUCUUCUGAAGUAGCUUCAAUACGACAAAGCUAUCCUGAAAACUACCCUGAAGAGGUGA
Long non-coding RNA from Limulus polyphemus (Atlantic horseshoe crab), 295 nucleotides. RefSeq lists it as uncharacterized. The record is from RefSeq and is a predicted model, not a curated record. The transcript is spliced from 3 exons. NCBI's taxonomy places the organism in Eukaryota, Metazoa, Arthropoda, Merostomata, Xiphosura, Limulidae.